GUAGGGAAUCUUCCACAAUGGACGCAAGUCUGAUGGAGCAACGCCGCGUGAGUGAAGAAGGUUUUCGGACCGUAAAGCUCUGUUGUUGGUGAAGAAGGAUAGAGGUAGUAACUGGCCUUUAUUUGACGGUAAUCAACCAGAAAGUCACGGCUAACUACGUGCCAGCAGCCGCGGUAAUACGUAGGUGGCAAGCGUUGUCCGGAUUUAUUGGGCGUAAAGCGAGCGCAGGCGGAAGAAUAAGUCUGAUGUGAAAGCCCUCGGCUUAACCGAGGAAUUGCAUCGGAAACUGUUUUCUUGAGUGCAGAAGAGGAGAGUAGAACUCCAUGUGUAGCGGUGGAAUGCGUAGAUAUAUGGAAGAAUACCAGUGGCGAAGGCGGCUCUCUGGUCUGCAACUGACGCUGAGGCUCGAAAGCAUGGGUAGCGAACAGGAUUAGAUACCCUGGUAGUCCAUGCCGUAAACGAUGAGUGCUAAGUGUUGGGAGGCUUCCGCCUCUCAGUGCUGCAGCUAACGCAUUAAGCACUCCGCCUGGGGGAGUACGACCGCAAGGUUGAAAC
This 555-nucleotide ribosomal RNA is filed under the name uncultured bacterium. RNAcentral describes it as "partial 16S ribosomal RNA". It matches the Rfam family "Bacterial small subunit ribosomal RNA", at positions 354 to 900 of the family's 1533-position model. The record is from RNAcentral.